RNAcentral lists this ribosomal RNA (260 nucleotides) under uncultured Oscillospiraceae bacterium. RNAcentral's name for it is "partial 16S ribosomal RNA". It matches the Rfam family "Bacterial small subunit ribosomal RNA", at positions 80 to 339 of the family's 1533-position model. The record is from RNAcentral. Lineage: Bacteria; Bacillati; Bacillota; Clostridia; Eubacteriales; Oscillospiraceae.
UGAUAGGAAUGCUUAGUGGCGGACUGGUGAGUAACGCGUGAGGAACCUGCCUUCCAGAGGGGGACAACAGUUGGAAACGACUGCUAAUACCGCAUGAUAUAUCGAAAGGGCAUCCUUUUGAUAUCAAAGAUUUUAUCGCUGGAAGAUGGCCUCGCGUCUGAUUAGCUAGAUGGUGGGGUAACGGCCCACCAUGGCGACGAUCAGUAGCCGGACUGAGAGGUUGACCGGCCACAUUGGGACUGAGAUACGGCCCAGACUCC